UCAGGAUGAACGCUAGCUACAGGCUUAACACAUGCAAGUCGAGGGCAGCAUGAUCGAAGCUUGCUUGAUGAUGGCGACCGGCGCACGGGUGAGUAACGCGUAUCCAACCUUCCCUAUAGUAGAGAAUAGCCCGGCGAAAGUCGGAUUAAUGCUCUAUGUUGUAUUUAGAGGACAUCUGAAGAAUACCAAAGGUUUACCGCUAUAGGAUGGGGAUGCGUCUGAUUAGGUAGUAGGCGGGGUAACGGCCCACCUAGCCGACGAUCAGUAGGGGUUCUGAGAGGAAGGUCCCCCACAUUGGAACUGAGACACGGUCCAAACUCCUACGGGAGGCAGCAGUGAGGAAUAUUGGUCAAUGGACGGAAGUCUGAACCAGCCAAGUAGCCGUGCAGGAUGACGGCCCUAUGGGUUGUAAACUGCUUUUAUAUAGGGAUAAAGUCGGGGACGUGUCCCCGUUUGUAGGUACUAUAUGAAUAAGGACCGGCUAAUUCCGUGCCAGCAGCAGC
This 503-nucleotide ribosomal RNA is filed under the name uncultured bacterium. Its description in RNAcentral is "bacterial SSU rRNA". It matches the Rfam family "Bacterial small subunit ribosomal RNA", at positions 24 to 518 of the family's 1533-position model. The record is from RNAcentral.